GACGAACGCUGGCGGCGUGCUUAACACAUGCAAGUCGAACGGAAAGGCCCUGCUUUUGUGGGGUGCUCGAGUGGCGAACGGGUGAGUAACACGUGAGUAACCUGCCCUUGACUUUGGGAUAACUUCAGGAAACUGGGGCUAAUACCGGAUAGGAGCUCCUGCUGCAUGGUGGGGGUUGGAAAGUUUCGGCGGUUGGGGAUGGACUCGCGGCUUAUCAGCUUGUUGGUGGGGUAGUGGCUUACCAAGGCUUUGACGGGUAGCCGGCCUGAGAGGGUGACCGGCCACAUUGGGACUGAGAUACGGCCCAGACUCCUACGGGGGGCAGCAGUGGGGAAUAUUGCACAAUGGGCGGAAGCCUGAUGCAGCAACGCCGCGUGCGGGAUGACGGCCUUCGGGUUGUAAACCGCUUUCGCCUGUGACGAAGCGUGAGUGACGGUAAUGAGUAAAGAAGCACCGGCUAACUACGUG
This 468-nucleotide ribosomal RNA is filed under the name uncultured bacterium. Its description in RNAcentral is "partial 16S ribosomal RNA". It matches the Rfam family "Bacterial small subunit ribosomal RNA", at positions 28 to 507 of the family's 1533-position model. The record is from RNAcentral.